CCUCCUCCAGCGGCAGCAUGUGAGCCACCGGCAAGGAGGGAUACCAAUAAGGCGUCCAAUAAGUGUGCCUAGGAAUUGUGACCUUACGAGAGAAAAAUGCAUGAUGCCAUGAACACGGUGGUUGACACACAGUUAUGGUUUGGGCUGCCUUUGUUUCACUUGUUCCUGACCUCGUGUAUUCUUGUACAUCAGUGGAAAUGACUGUGGUUUCAACUGUGAAGUUCAAUGGCUGGAGAGAUGGCUCACCACUUGCUGCCCUUGAAGAUGACCUGGACUCCAUUCCCGGCACCCACACGGCACCUCACAGCCACAUGGGACUCCAUUCUCAGAGGAUCCAACACUGUCUUCUGGUGGCAAUUCAUUGUGAUAAAAAUCCCUCUUGAAUCCUAAGAGACUGGAACUUUUGUUGGACUCUCAACCCGAGUUAAUAAUACAUCUUGAGGUUGCUAAGGACUGAGAACUACUAUCCUGCUGGGUACUCAGUGCAUUUGUUUAACCUGCCAUUAAGAGAACAAUGUAACAAUCAAUCUUACCUGCUGUGGAUUUCCUAUGUAAUCAACUUUUAUGACCCAAGCUAAUGUAUAACUACAAUCUUCAAGCAAGUACUGUU
Molecule: long non-coding RNA, 610 nt
Filed under: Cricetulus griseus (Chinese hamster)
Lineage: Eukaryota; Metazoa; Chordata; Mammalia; Rodentia; Cricetidae
Description: lncRNA (ENSCGRG00015040204.1)
Source: RNAcentral